Molecule: ribosomal RNA, 253 nt
Filed under: uncultured bacterium
Lineage: Bacteria
Description: partial 16S ribosomal RNA
Rfam family: Bacterial small subunit ribosomal RNA
Source: RNAcentral
UACGUAGGGUGCAAGCGUUGUCCGGAAUUAUUGGGCGUAAAGAGCUCGUAGGCGGUUUGUCGCGUCUGCUGUGAAAUCCCGAGGCUCAACCUCGGGCCUGCAGUGGGUACGGGCAGACUAGAGUGCGGUAGGGGAGGUUGGAACUCCUGGUGUAGCGGUGGAAUGCGCAGAUAUCAGGAAGAACACCGAUGGCGAAGGCAGAUCUCUGGGCCGUAACUGACGCUGAGGAGCGAAAGCAUGGGGAGCGAACAGG